This 473-nucleotide ribosomal RNA is filed under the name uncultured bacterium. Its description in RNAcentral is "bacterial SSU rRNA". It matches the Rfam family "Bacterial small subunit ribosomal RNA", at positions 36 to 507 of the family's 1533-position model. The record is from RNAcentral.
CUGGCGGCAUGCUUACACAUGCAAGUCGAACGGUAACAGGCCGCAAGGUGCUGACGAGUGGCGAACGGGUGAGUAAUGUAUCGGAACGUGCCCAGUCGUGGGGGAUAACGUAGCGAAAGCUACGCUAAUACCGCAUACGAUCUACGGAUGAAAGCGGGGGAUCGCAAGACCUCGCGCGAUUGGAGCGGCCGAUAUCAGAUUAGGUAGUUGGUGAGGUAAAGGCUCACCAAGCCGACGAUCUGUAGCUGGUCUGAGAGGACGACCAGCCACACUGGGACUGAGACACGGCCCAGACUCCUACGGGAGGCAGCAGUGGGGAAUUUUGGACAAUGGGCGCAAGCCUGAUCCAGCAAUGCCGCGUGCAGGAUGAAGGCCUUCGGGUUGUAAACUGCUUUUGUACGGAACGAAACGGUGAGCUCUAAUACAGUUUGCUAAUGACGGUACCGUAAGAAUAAGCACCGGCUAACUACGUG